AGGUAACAGGUUUGUUUUGUGAGUGAUAAAUUUAAAACUUCCCAGACGAACUCUGUUACCCCA
Molecule: microRNA precursor, 63 nt
Filed under: Acyrthosiphon pisum (pea aphid)
Lineage: Eukaryota; Metazoa; Arthropoda; Insecta; Hemiptera; Aphididae
Description: microRNA api-mir-3030 precursor
Source: miRBase by way of RNAcentral